RNAcentral lists this ribosomal RNA (1371 nucleotides) under Triticum aestivum (bread wheat). RNAcentral describes it as "partial small subunit ribosomal RNA". The record is from RNAcentral. Lineage: Eukaryota; Viridiplantae; Streptophyta; Magnoliopsida; Poales; Poaceae.
AUGCCCGCCUCCUCCAGGCUCUGCGCUUACGCCACGUGCUCCCUCGCGGCCUCCCCCGUCCCCACCCCCCCUUCCCCACCCCUUCGCUGCCGCCGCCGCCGCCGCCACCGCCGACUCGCCUCCUCCAUGGGCCAGUCCACGAGCUCGCCCUCGGGCAGCGGCCGCAGCCGCGGCGACUCCCGGUGGCCGGCGCUCCGGCUCGAUCUAGGGUUGCCGCCCGGCCGCAAGCAGAGGCCGGCAGGCGAGAGGCUGAAUUUGGGGGACCGGCUGCGCCGCGCGCUGUCGCGGCCGUCGCCCCGGAACACGGAGGUGGAGAUUGAGGCCGAGGAGGAGGGGCGAGACGCUGGGAACCGCGUGGAGGUGGAGGCCGGCGGCGCCGAGGCCGAUCACCUCGUCGUCAUGGUUAACGGCCUCUACGGAAGUUCGGCGGAUUGGAGGUUUGCAGCAGAGCAGUUCGUGAAGAGGCUGCCGGGGAAAGUCUAUGUGCAUCGUAGUGAGUGCAAUCAUUCAAAGUUAACAUACGAUGGAGUUGAUAUAAUGGGCGAAAGACUGGCUGAAGAGGUACACCAAGUUGUCCAGAGAAAAAGAAAUUUGCGGAAAAUCUCUGUUGUUGCUCAUUCACUUGGUGGAUUGAUUUCAAGAUAUGCAAUUGGAAGACUCUAUGAAGAAUCAACAAGCGAAGAGCCAUGCCUUAAUAUGGAGAAGCAUUCUGACCAAGAAAGUAUGUACAGAGGCGGUAAAAUAGCUGGCUUAGAACCAAUGAACUUUAUUGCGUCAGCUACACCACACCUGGGCUCCAGGUGGAAUAAACAACUGCCCUUCCUUUUUGGUGUUCCACUUUUGGAACAAACCGCUGCAGAAACUGCACAUCUUAUAGUUGGGAGAACGGGUAAACACUUGUUCCUCUCGGACAGGGACGAUGGGAAGCCUCCACUUCUCGUGCGAAUGGUUGAAGACGGCGAUGAUGGGAAAUUCAUGUCAGCUUUGCGCUCUUUUAAGCGCCGUGUUGCGUAUGCAAAUAUAACAUAUGACCACAUAGUUGGUUGGAGCACAUCGUCGAUUCGUCGUCAACAUGAGUUACCGAAACUUGAGUUAGAAGCAAAUAAUGAGAAGUACCCGCAUGUUAUCCAUGUCGAUACUGCUAACUCAGAGGGCACUCAGCAAGAGGAUUCUGUAGACACUUCACUCACGGAUAGCCCUGAAGAGGAGAUGAUCCGUGGCCUUACACAAGUGACCUGGGAACGGGUCGAUGUAUGCUUUCAUGAGAGCCGGCUAAAAUACAAUGCGCAUUACAAUAUCCAGGUCAGGACCCCAAUGAACUUGGAGGGAGAAGAUGUCAUCUACCAUAUGAUAGACAAUUUUCUAGUCUAG